RNAcentral lists this ribosomal RNA (1165 nucleotides) under Proteus mirabilis. Its description in RNAcentral is "partial 23S ribosomal RNA". It matches the Rfam family "Bacterial large subunit ribosomal RNA", at positions 1766 to 2925 of the family's 2925-position model. The record is from RNAcentral. Lineage: Bacteria; Pseudomonadati; Pseudomonadota; Gammaproteobacteria; Enterobacterales; Morganellaceae.
GCUGAAGCCAGUCGAAGAUACCAGCUGGCUGCAACUGUUUAUUAAAAACACAGCACUGUGCAAACACGAAAGUGGACGUAUACGGUGUGACGCCUGCCCGGUGCUGGAAGGUUAAUUGAUGGGGUUAGCGCAAGCGAAGCUCCUGAUCGAAGCCCCAGUAAACGGCGGCCGUAACUAUAACGGUCCUAAGGUAGCGAAAUUCCUUGUCGGGUAAGUUCCGACCUGCACGAAUGGCGUAAUGAUGGCCAGGCUGUCUCCACCCGAGACUCAGUGAAAUUGAACUCGCUGUGAAGAUGCAGUGUACCCGCGGCAAGACGGAAAGACCCCGUGAACCUUUACUAUAGCUUGACACUGAACAUUGAGCCUUGAUGUGUAGGAUAGGUGGGAGGCUUUGAAGUGUGGACGCCAGUCUGCAUGGAGCCAACCUUGAAAUACCACCCUUUAACGUUUGAUGUUCUAACCUAGGCCCGUGAUCCGGGUCGGGGACCGUGUCUGGUGGGUAGUUUGACUGGGGCGGUCUCCUCCUAAAGAGUAACGGAGGAGCACGAAGGUUGGCUAAGCAUGGUCGGACAUCAUGCGGUUAGUGCAAAGGCAUAAGCCAGCUUGACUGCGAGAGUGACGGCUCGAGCAGGUACGAAAGUAGGUCUUAGUGAUCCGGUGGUUCUGAAUGGAAGGGCCAUCGCUCAACGGAUAAAAGGUACUCCGGGGAUAACAGGCUGAUACCGCCCAAGAGUUCAUAUCGACGGCGGUGUUUGGCACCUCGAUGUCGGCUCAUCACAUCCUGGGGCUGAAGUAGGUCCCAAGGGUAUGGCUGUUCGCCAUUUAAAGUGGUACGCGAGCUGGGUUUAGAACGUCGUGAGACAGUUCGGUCCCUAUCUGCCGUGGGCGUUGGAAGAUUGAGAGGGGUUGCUCCUAGUACGAGAGGACCGGAGUGAACGCACCACUGGUGUUCGGGUUGUCAUGCCAAUGGCAUUGCCCGGUAGCUAAGUGCGGAAGAGAUAACCGCUGAAAGCAUCUAAGCGGGAAACUUGCCUCGAGAUGAGUCUUCCCUGUCGCUUAAAGCGACCUAAAGGAACGUUUAAGACGAAGACGUUGAUAGGCUGGGUGUGUAAGCGUAGCGAUACGUUGAGCUAACCAGUACUAAUGAACCGUGAGGCUUAACCUG